UUUGGAGGAGACCCUUUUGGUUAUUCGUCAAUUCGUUUCACCGGCCAACUAAUCUGUUCUCUUCCUCCAUUUUCCCUCUCACGAACGCCGGUACUUCCCUCAUCAGGUGACUCUGCUCCCUCCACUUUAAACAUUCAUUGCUAAGACAUGUGCAAGACUGUUCCUCUCCCUUGUUGUGUAUAUAAGCAAAUAGGUAUGGAAAACUUCUCUCAACAAUUUUAUAUCUUCCACGUACGUGCUUAUAACAAAAUCAUCCACCUUACUUAUUAAAUUUUUUUUGAUUAUUGUGAGAGUGUCUCCUUAGAUUUCGAUAUCUCGGAAUCCCAGAUCUAACCAAAUUUGAAUCACUUAGAGAAAUGUGAGUGCCUCCACAGCAAACAUUGAUGGAACCUGCUUGUUUAUAGUUACUCGUGACCCCACUAUAGACCCAUCGGGCCUUCGCACUAGUAACCUGUACAAAAAUCCUUUGCAUGCCAUUUAAAAGUUGCAUCAAAGUUGAUAAGGAUUAAGGUGGAUGAUUGCGGAAGACUGGAUCAUAAGAUUUUCCAAGUCGCUGAUUUGACUUAGGG
This 569-nucleotide long non-coding RNA is filed under the name Gossypium barbadense (sea-island cotton). RNAcentral's name for it is "long non-coding RNA (GBAR_LNC012576)". Lineage: Eukaryota; Viridiplantae; Streptophyta; Magnoliopsida; Malvales; Malvaceae. The record is from RNAcentral.